AAAUUGAAGAGUUUGAUCAUGGCUCAGAUUGAACGCUGGCGGCAGGCCUAACACAUGCAAGUCGAACGGUAACAGGAAGCAGCUUGCUGCUUCGCUGACGAGUGGCGGACGGGUGAGUAAUGUCUGGGAAACUGCCUGAUGGAGGGGGAUAACUACUGGAAACGGUGGCUAAUACCGCAUAACGUCGCAAGACCAAAGAGGGGGACCUUCGGGCCUCUUGCCAUCAGAUGUGCCCAGAUGGGAUUAGCUUGUUGGUGAGGUAACGGCUCACCAAGGCGACGAUCCCUAGCUGGUCUGAGAGGAUGACCAGCCACACUGGAACUGAGACACGGUCCAGACUCCUACGGGAGGCAGCAGUGGGGAAUAUUGCACAAUGGGCGCAAGCCUGAUGCAGCCAUGCCGCGUGUAUGAAGAAGGCCUUCGGGUUGUAAAGUACUUUCAGCGGGGAGGAAGGUGUUGCGGUUAAUAACCGCAGCAAUUGACGUUACCCGCAGAAGAAGCACCGGCUAA
This 510-nucleotide ribosomal RNA is filed under the name Salmonella enterica. Its description in RNAcentral is "bacterial SSU rRNA". It matches the Rfam family "Bacterial small subunit ribosomal RNA", at positions 1 to 500 of the family's 1533-position model. The record is from RNAcentral. Lineage: Bacteria; Pseudomonadati; Pseudomonadota; Gammaproteobacteria; Enterobacterales; Enterobacteriaceae.